RNAcentral lists this ribosomal RNA (559 nucleotides) under uncultured bacterium. RNAcentral describes it as "bacterial SSU rRNA". It matches the Rfam family "Bacterial small subunit ribosomal RNA", at positions 119 to 674 of the family's 1533-position model. The record is from RNAcentral.
CGGAAUCUACCUUUUCGUGGGGGAUAACGUAGGGAAACUUACGCUAAUACCGCAUACGACCUACGGGUGAAAGCAGGGGAUCUUCGGACCUUGCGCGAUUGAAUGAGCCGAUGUCGGAUUAGCUAGUUGGCGGGGUAAAGGCCCACCAAGGCGACGAUCCGUAGCUGGUCUGAGAGGAUGAUCAGCCACACUGGAACUGAGACACGGUCCAGACUCCUACGGGAGGCAGCAGUGGGGAAUAUUGGACAAUGGGCGCAAGCCUGAUCCAGCCAUACCGCGUGGGUGAAGAAGGCCUUCGGGUUGUAAAGCCCUUUUGUUGGGAAAGAAAUCCAGCUGGCUAAUACCCGGUUGGGAUGACGGUACCCAAAGAAUAAGCACCGGCUAACUUCGUGCCAGCAGCCGCGGUAAUACGAAGGGUGCAAGCGUUACUCGGAAUUACUGGGCGUAAAGCGUGCGUAGGUGGUCGUUUAAGUCCGUUGUGAAAGCCCUGGGCUCAACCUGGGAACUGCAGUGGAUACUGGACGACUAGAGUGUGGUAGAGGGUAGCGGAAUUCCUGGU